This 1198-nucleotide long non-coding RNA is filed under the name Numida meleagris (helmeted guineafowl). RNAcentral's name for it is "lncRNA (ENSNMEG00000023118.1)". Lineage: Eukaryota; Metazoa; Chordata; Aves; Galliformes; Numididae. The record is from RNAcentral.
AGAUACCACGAUGAUUUGGCAAGAAGAUGUGGUCCCAAAAAGUGUGCCUGCAUUUGCUGCUGUGGAAACAUGGCGUGGCUUCCCUUACUUUGCAAUGUAGAGAGCUUUUGGCUGCACAUGAAGACAGAAGUUUUGGCUUCUCUGAACUUAAGAAUAUUAAGGUCCUGCAAGUAGAACAUGCCAAAGACUUCCUCACUGCUGAAAUCCAUUGCCUGAAGAUAGGAAUUGCUCAGCAGGUCCCCCCCCGUGCUGCGGAUGGGCACGAGCAGCACAGAGCCCUGUGCUCGUUCAUUUUCCUUGUGCUGCAAGGAGGCCCGAAGUGCUCUGCAAAGAGGAAUCCCGCUGCACUCGCUCUGCUCAGACAAAUUCAUGCUCCAGUUUGCCACUGUGAGAGAAAUUCUGCUACAGUGCGUUCUUAUUACGGCUUCAAUCAAGCAUCAUAGUGAACUCAUCUUCUAUGCACACAAAGAUGGGCAGGGUCAUUGAUCUGAGAGAGCAUCUAAACUAAAACUUGUUGAAGAUGCAAUGAGAGAAAUUGUUAGAAGGUUGAGGAGGGUAGGUAGGGUAAUCAUAAAAAAACUGAGUUCAUUAAUUCUUUGAGUACUACAGCCAAAUUUUGAGUUCUCAGGUUUUGUGAUUUUAAAUCUGCUAAAACCAGUGGUACCUCUAAGGUAGGUAAUAGCUCUGGGAGAAGUGUCAGUAAUCCUAAAUUACCUCUCUGCAAUUUGUCCAUUAUGAAUUAUUCUUAAGAUCCAGCUGCAUAAUCAAAGCAAGGGAAUGGGCCAUGACUGGAAUUUGCUUUUUGAGCGCUUUUUCCCAGAUUGUUGCAUUCCAAAAAAUACGCAGCUACAAGGAAAGAAAAGUCUGCAGGUACUGCUGUCUUUCCAUAAACGAGAGGAGCCUAACAACAGUAAGAAAUGAUGGGGUAGGACAGACUGAAGCAGAACUCAGUUCACUUCAGCUGAUCAGUUUGCAGUCGGACUGCUUCAUGUACGUGAAGUUUAUCUUGCUGCAGUGAAUUAGGCUCCUCCGCCUAAUUAAAUGUUACAAGGAUUCGGUCAAAUAUAAGAAUUUUUGGAAAUGUUUCUACUGGAUUGGAAACUAUGUAAUAUUAGAAUGGCAUUUUCAGAACUCUGUCUCAGCAAUUUCAUUGCGGGUUGUACCUUUGAGUCAGGGCAUUUCAGAAGCCCCUCAGGGA